AGCACCCAGCGACUGUCAGCUGAGUGGGGCUGCUCCAGGGGCCCCGAGCUGGUGGGGCUCCCUGCACCCGCAGCCCAGACAGAGGGGCUCCCGGGGGAGGGGAAGAGCACACGCACCUGGCGGUAGGCAUUCAAGUGCUGCAGGACUUCGGCCACAGCGGAGUCCCGGGGAGCAGAGUCCCGGGAGCAAAACUGAGGCCCAGGCAGGAUUUCUGGGCGUCCUCCUCCCUGACCCGCUGCAGCGCGCCUCGGUAAGCCUGGUCCUGGCAGUAGACGAUCUGCUCCACCCGGAAGUGAAGUUGGAUCGCCUUCUCUGCCGCUUCUUCUCCGUCCCACCGGAUGUCCUCGAUUUUGUUUUGCGGGAAGAGAAAGCUGACUGUAGACCCACAGGAAGUGAACCCAAAGCCCCGGAAAGAGGUCACCGAGAAGCCGGGAGCUGGGCCACCCCGCUGCACCCCGGCCCCCAGUGCUGUGCGCGGGUUCCACCAGGCCGGGCUGCCUGCCCAGUCCUCAGCCAGGACUCAGCCCUCUGCUCCCUUGCGGGUUUGCUGUCUGAAGGGAGCCCAUGGCGACCCCGGGGUGCCCGGGGACAGGAAGGGCACAGCUGGGUCAGUCCCACCCCACAAGGGGCCUGCCCUGGCUUUGCAGGCCACUGAGGCUUGGCCCAGAAAGCACCCACUGCCUGUGAGGCUCGGUGCUGGGUGGGUCCCGACGCUGUCCCUGUGGUCACUGCCCCUCAGGGACAAGGCACUUGCGCGUUCAGGGCCCAGGCCAGCAAGGUGGCCACCCUCGGGCUGGGGCUGGAGGCCAGCAGAGCUGGGUCCCUGCCAUGCUGAGAGCCCGGUGCUGCCCGCAGGGACCCGCAGGGCACAGACCUGGGCAACAGCUGUCUUGUUCCUCCUCCCACGACCCAGUCCCUGAGGCCCCUUGCUGAGCAUCCACGUGGGGCCCUUCCCUCCCACGGGACCAGAGUCUGCAGCCCGGGCCCUGCUUCGGGAGUUUCCCUUUGUGUCUCUGACCCCUGCUCUGACCCCACACUGCUGGUUGCUAUUCCCAGGCCGCCGGGCGCCCACUUCUCCCACGCAGAGAGGACAUCGGAGUGGGGCUCGGGGCAGAAGUGAUGCCUGCUCCCGGGCAAUUUCUGCUGCCUUCUCGAGCGUCCUGGGCUUACCUUGCAGGUCUU
Molecule: long non-coding RNA, 1182 nt
Filed under: Heterocephalus glaber (naked mole-rat)
Lineage: Eukaryota; Metazoa; Chordata; Mammalia; Rodentia; Bathyergidae
Description: lncRNA (ENSHGLG00000035872.1)
Source: RNAcentral